Molecule: long non-coding RNA, 927 nt
Filed under: Setaria italica (foxtail millet)
Lineage: Eukaryota; Viridiplantae; Streptophyta; Magnoliopsida; Poales; Poaceae
Description: long non-coding RNA (SITA_LNC007549)
Source: RNAcentral
CAUAAUCGGAGAGUAUAAGGAGUGAAAUCCCACCCCGAAUCAUGAGCGCACGCACAGGGAGCAACAAUCAUCAGUAACAAAGGCCGGCGGGCCAUGAUCGAUCGAUACCGCUACAGUAAGAGAAGAGCAGCCCACCCAAAUUGUGGGGUUUUGUGGUCGGUGGAGCAACAGCAAGGGUGUGGGGGGAAUGCGGUUGGGGGUAGUGGUACCUACCUUGAAAUCGCUCUGCUUUGCUGUGGUUGCUUGCUUCAAGCAGGAAGAGGGGGCGAUCGCCAACUGCACUGAAAUCCUCCGCUUGCUUUGUCGUGGUGAUUGGUGAACAAGGGAAUGAGGAUUCCAAGCAAGCAAGGGUGAUGGGAGAGAGGGGUGGGUGGGUAGAAAAAGCGAUGCCGCUUUUACUGCUCCAUGUCAGGAGAGAAACAACAAGGCCUGGCCCACCCGAUAAACUGCAAUUAAGAGUAAGGAGGGAGAAGCCAGUGCUCCAGGGUGCUGGAUACGAGAGCGAGCUUGUGGUGGAUCAAGAAUGAGUAUCGUACAAAGCAGCUAGAGAUACAGCUAGGUGAAAUUGAUACGAGAGUUUGCUGAAGUAAGCUAUAUAUAACAUUCUUUAGAAAAACCUUCCAUCACAAAUGGAUAUAUAGGGAUACAAGUGAUGAUCUUAUCUUUUUCUUUAGCUCUUGGACAUGGAUUAGGAAUGAUCAAAAGAGCAGAGCAGCAGAAACCACCAGCAUGGCUGCGACAAUUCCAAGAGCUGCAUAUAGUAUCGUCUUGUUGAUGCGCCUGCGUGGGCGAGACUGAACUUGCUGCGCGGCUAGCUGUUGGGUAGUCUCGACUCGAGAGACAGGGCGGAGUAGCUGAGCGCCGCAGCUUCUCCUCCAUUCAGCUUCAAGAUCCAACCCAAGGAUGUAAUGUUCGCCAUUCGCUACU